RNAcentral lists this small RNA (517 nucleotides) under Pan troglodytes (chimpanzee). RNAcentral describes it as "retained intron". Lineage: Eukaryota; Metazoa; Chordata; Mammalia; Primates; Hominidae. The record is from RNAcentral.
GCGGCCGCCAACGCCGCCCGGACUGGAGCCCUGACAUUGCUGCGCUCGGGGGACUCCAGGCAGCCCGUAUCGGGGCCUUUAUUUCUCGUCGGCGGCGCCCUGCACCGCGCCUCGCAAAGCUGAACACCAGAGCACCCUAGAAGGUUUAACUAAAAGAAUGCUCAUGUUUGACCCAGUUCCUGUCAAGCAAGAGGCCAUGGACCCUGUCUCAGUGGUAAGUUUUCCAAGAUUGAACACCUCGCCUUAUUUUUUCCAAGUGAUGAUAACAUUAUUGUGUGUUGAAUUAUUCCUUGAAAUCAUGGCCGGGCGUGGUGGCUCACGCCUGUAAUCCCAGCACUUUGGGAGACCGAGGCGGGAGGAUCACCUGAGGUCGGGAGUUUGAGACCAGCCUGACCAACAUGAAGAAACCCCGUCUCUACUAAAAAUACCAAAUUAGCCGGGCGUGGUGGCGCAUGCCUGUAAUCCCAGCUACUCGGGAGGCUGAGGCAGGAGAGUCGCUUGAACCCGGGAGGCGGAG